CCUACGGGGCGCAGCAGUCGAGAAUCAUUCACAAUGGGGGAAACCCUGAUGGUGCGACGCCGCGUGGGGGAAUGAAGGUCUUCGGAUUGUAAACCCCUGUCAUGUGGGAGCAAAUUAAAAAGAUAGUACCACAAGAGGAAGAGACGGCUAACUCUGUGCCAGCAGCCGCGGUAAUACAGAGGUCUCAAGCGUUGUUCGGAAUCACUGGGCGUAAAGCGUGCGUAGGCUGUUUCGUAAGUCGUGUGUGAAAGGCGCGGGCUCAACCCGCGGACGGCACAUGAUACUGCGAGACGAGAGGAAUGGAGGGGGAACCGGAAUUCUCGGUGUAGCAGUGAAAUGCGUAGAUAUCGAGAGGAACACUCGUGGCGAAGGCGGGUUCCUGGACAUUAACUGACGCUGAGGCACGAAGGCCAGGGGAGCGAAAGGGAUUAGAUACCCUUGUAGUC
RNAcentral lists this ribosomal RNA (446 nucleotides) under uncultured bacterium. Its description in RNAcentral is "partial 16S ribosomal RNA". It matches the Rfam family "Bacterial small subunit ribosomal RNA", at positions 338 to 795 of the family's 1533-position model. The record is from RNAcentral.